AAUUGGGGAUAGCAGGAGCUGAUGGAAAGAAGAUCGGGAUUGUUAGCAUUUCUCUAUCCGUCUAGCACGCCAGACAGGGCCAGUCUCUCCGGCUGGGGGCACUGCGUGGGCAACAGCGACCGUGAGGGCGCGCGUCUGCGCUGGGGCCUCGCGCGCGUUCCACGAUGAAGACUGCGCGUUUGAGUGUCCCUGGCAACGCCACGCUUCCGCCUUCUGGAAGCCUGCACUCCAGCUUCGAGUGGAACGAUGCCUCUGGAGGUGGUGGUGGAGCUGCAGAUCCGGGCGAUUUCUUGCCCAGGAGUGUUCCUGCCUGGCAAACAAGAUGUGUACCUCGGGGUCUACCUCAUGAAUCAGUACCUGGAGACCAACAGCUUUCCCUCUGCGUUCCCCAUUAUGAUUCAGGAGAGCAUGAGAUUUGAAAAGUGUGGGAUGAGUUGGCCUACUACGAAGAAAACACACGAGAUUUUCUUUUCCCAGAGCCCAAGCUGACACCUUCGCACCCUAGGAGGUGUAGGGAGGUGCUCAUGAAGACGGCUCUGGGUUUUCCAGAAGAAAGACAUGAGUCACGGAGGCCUUUAUCUACAUCACA
RNAcentral lists this long non-coding RNA (589 nucleotides) under Homo sapiens (human). Its description in RNAcentral is "non-protein coding lnc-SPATA6L-2:2". The record is from RNAcentral. Lineage: Eukaryota; Metazoa; Chordata; Mammalia; Primates; Hominidae.